AAGGGUGUUUAUAGAUUUAUAAAUGUUUGUUUACAAUUUGUAAGUGUCUAGUGCUGUGGUUUCAAUAUGCUUUGUGGCUCAUAUUAAUCCUGAAUUUAUAGCUCACUGAUUGUGAGUUAAUUAGUGUGAUUUGUAAAUCAAUAAAUUCCUUCAGUCCUUAUUUAAAAUAUGUGAACUGAGCAGCUGUUCCCUGAGACUGUAUUCCAGCUCUUACUUUUUGGACACUAAAAAGCAAAAGUGCAAUAACCACCAGUGCUGUCCAGGGUAGAAGUAGA
RNAcentral lists this long non-coding RNA (275 nucleotides) under Anas platyrhynchos platyrhynchos (common mallard). RNAcentral describes it as "lncRNA (ENSAPLG00000030075.1)". The record is from RNAcentral. Lineage: Eukaryota; Metazoa; Chordata; Aves; Anseriformes; Anatidae.